AGACCCGAAACCCGGUGAUCUAGCCAUGGGCAGGUUGAAGGUUGGGUAACACUAACUGGAGGACCGAACCGACUAAUGUUGAAAAAUUAGCGGAUGACCUGUGGCUGGGGGUGAAAGGCCAAUCAAACCGGGAGAUAGCUGGUUCUCCCCGAAAGCUAUUUAGGUAGCGCCUCGUGAAUUCAUCUCCGGGGGUAGAGCACUGUUUCGGCUAGGGGGCCAUCCCGGCUUACCAACCCGAUGCAAACUGCGAAUACCGGAGAAUGUUAUCACGGGAGACACACGGCGGGUGCUAACGUCCGUCGUGAAGAGGGAAACAACCCAGACCGCCAGCUAAGGUCCCAAAGUCAUGGUUAAGUGGGAAACGAUGUGGGAAGGCCCAGACAGCCAGGAUGUUGGCUUAGAAGCAGCCAUCAUUUAAAGAAAGCGUAAUAGCUCACUGGUCGAGUCGGCCUGCGCGGAAGAUGUAACGGGGCUAAACCAUGCACCGAAGCUGCGGCAGCGACACUGUGUGUUGUUGGGUAGGGGAGCGUUCUGUAAGCCUGUGAAGGUGGCCUGUGAGGGUUGCUGGAGGUAUCAGAAGUGCGAAUGCUGACAUAAGUAACGAUAAAGCGGGUGAAAAGCCCGCUCGCCGGAAGACCAAGGGUUCCUGUCCAACGUUAAUCGGGGCAGGGUGAGUCGACCCCUAAGGCGAGGCCGAAAGGCGUAGUCGAUGGGAAACGGGUUAAUAUUCCCGUACUUGGUGUUACUGCGAAGGGGGGACGGAGAAGGCUAUGUUGGCCGGGCGACGGUUGUCCCGGUUUAAGCGUGUAGGUGUGUGUUCCAGGUAAAUCCGGUUCACUUUAACACUGAGGCGUGACGACGAGGCACUACGGUGCUGAAGCAACAAAUGCCCUGCUUCCAGGAAAAGCCUCUAAGCAUCAGGUAACAUCAAAUCGUACCCCAAACCGACACAGGUGGUCAGGUAGAGAAUACCAAGGCGCUUGAGAGAACUCGGGUGAAGGAACUAGGCAAAAUGGUGCCGUAACU
Molecule: ribosomal RNA, 1026 nt
Filed under: Salmonella enterica
Lineage: Bacteria; Pseudomonadati; Pseudomonadota; Gammaproteobacteria; Enterobacterales; Enterobacteriaceae
Also listed under: 6 other names
Description: partial 23S ribosomal RNA
Rfam family: Bacterial large subunit ribosomal RNA
Source: RNAcentral